ACGAACGCUGGCGGCGUGCUUAACACAUGCAAGUCGGACGGAAAGGCCCUGCUUUUGUGGGGUGCUCGAGUGGCGAACGGGUGAGUAACACGUGAGUAACCUGCCCUUGACUUUGGGAUAACUUCAGGAAACUGGGGCUAAUACCGGAUAGGAGCUCCUGCUGCAUGGUGGGGGUUGGAAAGUUUCGGCGGUUGGGGAUGGACUCGCGGCUUAUCAGCUUGUUGGUGGGGUAGUGGCUUACCAAGGCUUUGACGGGUAGCCGGCCUGAGAGGGUGACCGGCCACAUUGGGACGGGGAUACGGCCCAGACUCCUACGGGAGGCAGCAGUGGGGAAUAGUGCACAAUGGGCGGAAGCCUGAUGCAGCAACGCCGCGUGCGGGAUGACGGCCUUCGGGUUGUAAACCGCUUUCGCCUGUGACGAAGCGUGAGUGACGGUAAUGGGUAAAGAAGCACCGGCUAACUACGUG
RNAcentral lists this ribosomal RNA (467 nucleotides) under uncultured bacterium. Its description in RNAcentral is "partial 16S ribosomal RNA". It matches the Rfam family "Bacterial small subunit ribosomal RNA", at positions 29 to 507 of the family's 1533-position model. The record is from RNAcentral.